Molecule: long non-coding RNA, 564 nt
Filed under: Nicotiana tabacum (common tobacco)
Lineage: Eukaryota; Viridiplantae; Streptophyta; Magnoliopsida; Solanales; Solanaceae
Description: long non-coding RNA (NTAB_LNC004765)
Source: RNAcentral
AAGCUCGGAACAACAGUUCAUUCAAUCAGCAGUACAACCAAAAUAAAGCGAAACAUACCUUUGAAAUUGAAAUUGAAUCGAGCUCGGAACACUGGAACAGGACAGCAGCGUCUUCGACACUUCGUUUUGCCCGGAAUUUGUGAGGAGUGAGGAAUCGAAUCGAGCUGGAAAUCACCGCCUAUGAUAUUUUCCUACACUGGAACAGUAUACUUCGUUUGAUGCAGAAAAUCAGACCAUUAUAAUUUAAAGGCCCAUGCGGAAACUCAAAAGUCAAAACUUAAGCAGUCGUAGACCGGUGAAGAUGAGAUGAAAGUGAGACUUACAAAACGUAGACUGAUAUCCUAAGCAAGUACGCAGUCGAUUCUCGUCUAGACUCGCAGACUGAUAAGUGAUAUCCUAGACUCGCAGAGUCGCAGACUCGCAGUCGUCCAGUCGAUGACUCGAUUCUCGUCUUCUUCUUCUCGAUGAUAUCUCCAGUCGAAGAAUGAAGUCUGAAGCAGUAAGCAUUAACCAAGCCCUAAUGGCUAAUGAGUAAUGCCUUAUGCGGUUAUGCCCUACUUUGAG